GCAGGCCUAACACAUGCAAGUCGAGCGGUAGCACAAGGGAGCUUGCUCCCUGGGUGACGAGCGGCGGACGGGUGAGUAAUGUCUGGGGAUCUGCCUGAUGGAGGGGGAUAACUACUGGAAACGGUAGCUAAUACCGCAUAACGUCGCAAGACCAAAGUGGGGGACCUUAGGGCCUCAUGCCAUCGGAUGAACCCAGAUGGGAUUAGCUAGUAGGUGAGGUAAUGGCUCACCUAGGCGACGAUCCCUAGCUGGUCUGAGAGGAUGACCAGCCACACUGGAACUGAGACACGGUCCAGACUCCUACGGGAGGCAGCAGUGGGGAAUAUUGCACAAUGGGCGCAAGCCUGAUGCAGCCAUGCCGCGUGUGUGAAGAAGGCCUUAGGGUUGUAAAGCACUUUCAGCGAGGAGGAAGGAUGAAGUGUUAAUAGCACUUGAUAUUGACGUUACUCGCAGAAGAAGCACCGGCUAACUCCGUGCCAGCAGCCGCGGUAAUACGGAGGGUGCAAGCGUUAAUCGGAAUUACUGGGCGUAAAGCGCACGCAGGCGGUCUGACAAGUCAUUAAUUCGAUGCAACGCGAAGAACCUUACCUACUCUUGACAUCCAGAGAAUUAGCCAGAGAUGGCUGAGUGCCUUCGGGAGCUCUGAGACAGGUGCUGCAUGGCUGUCGUCAGCUCGUGUUGUGAAAUGUUGGGUUAAGUCCCGCAACGAGCGCAACCCUUAUCCUUUGUUGCCAGCGAUUCGGUCGGGAACUCAAAGGAGACUGCCGGUGAUAAACCGGAGGAAGGUGGGGAUGACGUCAAGUCAUCAUGGCCCUUACGAGUAGGGCUACACACGUGCUACAAUGGCGUAUACAAAGAGAAGCGAGCCUGCGAGGGGAAGCGGACCUCAUAAAGUACGUCGUAGUCCGGAUUGGAGUCUGCAACUCGACUCCAUGAAGUCGGAAUCGCUAGUAAUCGUAGAUCAGAAUGCUACGGUGAAUACGUUCCCGGGCCUUGUACACACCGCCCGUCACANCCAUGGGAGUGGGUUGCAAAAGAAGUAGGUAGCUUAACCUUCGGGAGGGCGCUUACCACUUUGUGGUU
RNAcentral lists this ribosomal RNA (1083 nucleotides) under uncultured Eubacterium sp. Its description in RNAcentral is "bacterial SSU rRNA". It matches the Rfam family "Bacterial small subunit ribosomal RNA". The record is from RNAcentral. Lineage: Bacteria; Bacillati; Bacillota; Clostridia; Eubacteriales; Eubacteriaceae.